UCAACUUGGAAAUUUGAUUUCUGAAGAUGCCGGCUGCAAGGCCCAAUACAUUGGACAGAGAUGGUGAACUAUUUGUUGAAGUUGACCCUACUGGACGGUUUGGGCGAUAUGAUGAUCUGCUUGGUGCUGGUGCUGUUAAGAAGGUUUAUCGGGCAUUUGAUCAAGAGGAAGGUACAGAGGUGGCAUGGAAUCGAGUGCGGUUGAGGAAUUUUAUUGAAGAUCCAGUUCUCAUUAAUAGGCG
This 241-nucleotide unclassified non-coding RNA is filed under the name Hevea brasiliensis (rubber tree). Lineage: Eukaryota; Viridiplantae; Streptophyta; Magnoliopsida; Malpighiales; Euphorbiaceae. The record is from RNAcentral.